CCGCAGGUGGUCCGUGGUGGUCUUCUCGUCGCAGGCGACGCCGACAUGGUCGUCGCCGGCCAGGCGCAGGUUCACGCCCCGCUCCGCGGC
This 90-nucleotide transfer RNA is filed under the name Microbispora bryophytorum. RNAcentral describes it as "tRNA-Cys". The record is from RNAcentral. Lineage: Bacteria; Bacillati; Actinomycetota; Actinomycetes; Streptosporangiales; Streptosporangiaceae.